UCCAGACUCCUACGGGAGGCAGCAGUGGGGAAUAUUGCACAAUGGGGGAAACCCUGAUGCAGCGACGCCGCGUGAGUGAAGAAGUAUUUCGGUAUGUAAAGCUCUAUCAGCAGGGAAGAAGUUGACGGUACCUGAGUAAGAAGCCCCGGCUAACUGCGUGCCAGCAGCCGCGGUAAUACGUAGGGGGCAAGCGUUAUCCGGAUUUACUGGGUGUAAAGGGAGCGUAGACGGUUAUGCAAGUCUGGAGUGAAAGGCGGGGGCUCAACCCCCGGACUGCUCUGGAAACUGUAGAACUAGAGUGCAGGAGGGGUAAGUGGAAUUCCUAGUGUAGCGGUGAAAUGCGUAGAUAUUAGGAGGAACACCAGUGGCGAAGGCGGUCUGCUGGACAGCAACUGACGCUGAGGCGCGAAAGCGUGGGGAGCAAACAGGAUUAGAUACCCGUGUA
RNAcentral lists this ribosomal RNA (445 nucleotides) under uncultured bacterium. Its description in RNAcentral is "bacterial SSU rRNA". It matches the Rfam family "Bacterial small subunit ribosomal RNA", at positions 330 to 792 of the family's 1533-position model. The record is from RNAcentral.